Molecule: ribosomal RNA, 492 nt
Filed under: uncultured bacterium
Lineage: Bacteria
Description: partial 16S ribosomal RNA
Rfam family: Bacterial small subunit ribosomal RNA
Source: RNAcentral
AGUGAACGCUGGCGGCAGGCCUAACACAUGCAAGUCGAGCGGCAGCACAGUGCUUGCUUGCGGUUUCAGGGGGGGACGGGCGGAUGGGUGCGGGGAAUAUGCGAGGCUGCUUGUGCGAAGGUGCGGACGCAGGGGAUCUUACGGCAAUAGCGCAUACGGCGUACGUGGGGAAUCAUCGGAUCUUACGCUCUCGCAUGAGCGAAGGUGGCGAUGUCGGAUUAGCUAGUUGGCGGGGUAAAGGCCCACCAAGGCGACGAUCCGUAGCUGGUCUGAGAGGAUGAUCAGUCACACUGGAACUGAGACACGGUCCAGACUCCUACGGGAGGCAGCAGUGGGGAAUAUUGGACAAUGGGCGCAAGCCUGAUCCAGCCAUGCCGCGUGUGUGAAGAAGGUCUUCGGGUUGUAAAGCCCUUUUAGUGGGAAGGAAGAGCAGUAAGUUAAUACCUCGCUGUUCUGACGGUACCAAAAGAAUAAGCACCGGCUAACUUCGUG